AUCUGCAAGUGCAAAAUAUGACUGGCAAAGCAGAUUUUUGGUCAUUUCUUAGCAAAAGAGAAGAAAAUAAGUGCAUUAAAUGCAUGAAUUCAGAUUAUUUGACCUGGAAUAGUUGUUUUUCAAGUUGACCCCCCACCCUUAUAUAGUGGAAUAAGGGCUAAAUUGCUUUCCGACUUAAAUUCAACCGCAUAUUGGUUGACUGUGUCGCGUUAAUGUGUUACAUGAAGUUAGAAUUCAACGCCAGGGACUCCGUAAUCGAGUAAGGCAACUAAAACUUUUGCGAAAAGCAUGAACAUUCAAACAGAGCCCCAUUUCACCGACAUGGAAUGGCAGGCAUUUUUACAGUAUGGACAGUGCAGCAGAUGCUUAACUGAGCCAGCCUUCAUAUUUAGUACAAUCAUGAAUUGAGCAAGAUUUUAUCACUUCAUAUUAUUCAUAAAAGUACACUUAAAAUACAUAAAUGCUUGUUUUUGUUUCAUUUUUUUAUCUUUUUCUAUUGGGUAUUUUGACUUUUUCAGGAAGAGGAAUGUCUGCGACUAAGUCAAGGGCCACUGGAUAAGGGUUGUUGAUGGCAAAACAGGUUGGAGACUACAUAAGACUUUGACAGUUGGCGGGAAACCAUCAUCAACUGGAGAGAUGCCGGUAAAAAGAUGGCCAUAAAACAGUGACCGCUGAUUCGCAUUGAGUUCUUUCUUACAUAUUGGAUGACCUAUGUUUUUUAUUGUUUAAAUCAUUGCGGCUUGGAAUGCUCUUUAAGAAAAGGAAGAGGAAUGUCUGCGACUAAGUCAAGGGCCACUGGAUAAGGGUUGUUGAUGGCAAAACAGGUUGGAGACUACAUAAGACUUUGACAGUUGGCGGGAAACCAUCAUCAACUGGAGAGAUGCCGGAAGAGGAAUGUCUGCGACUAAGUCAAGGGCCACUGGAUAAGGGUUGUUGAUGGCAAAACAGGUUGGAGACUACAUAAGACUUUGACAGUUGGCGGGAAACCAUCAUCAACUGGAGAGAUGCCGGUAAAAAGAUGGCCAUAAAACAGUGACCGCUGAUUCGCAUUGAGUUCUUUCUUACAUAUUGGAUGACCUAUGUUUUUUAUUGUUUAAAUCAUUGCGGCUUGGAAUGCUCUUUAAGAAAAGGUAUGGUUAUGGGGGUGUCUACGCGCAAAAGUUUGACUUUAUUUUUUGUUAAAGUUAUUGCUUUUACAUUGAAUUUGUGCAGGAAAUCUUUUGGUAUGUUGUGAC
Molecule: long non-coding RNA, 1235 nt
Organism: Dreissena polymorpha
Lineage: Eukaryota; Metazoa; Mollusca; Bivalvia; Myida; Dreissenidae
Exons: 6
Source: RefSeq, a predicted model, not a curated record